AAGAGGUCCCAUGGGAGGUGCUGGAUCUAGUGGUAUCCCAAGUAAAAUUGCCAGAGCAGGACUUGUGUGUGCAUGUGUAUAACAAAAGCACAGGCACAAACUUCUUCCAUUAAUCUUACUGUGUGUACUGUGGUCUGAUUGCACAUUGAAUGGCAAAAGUCACCCAAGCUCUGAAGGCAUCUGUGUGCUCAUGUUGCUACAGGUCAUCCCCACGCAGAGUCCCAUCUCUUCUGCCACGUCUGUCCCCCUCCUGGCACUCUGGGUUGUGGGAUCAUCUAUCCCCAGUGGGUACACUGGCAUCCCCAGGCCAUGCACCUGAGCAGCCACUGGGUGAACUGGGAAUAGCAACAGAUGCUGCUUAGUGCCACUAAGUACCACAGGAGUGGCUGUCCUUACCAGUCAGGCUUUGCCCUCAGUAGCUUCCAGCUAGGCUUGCAAUUACUUUCUUCCUCAUCCUCACACCUCCUCUUCUACUCCCUCAACUACUUACAGCAUCAAAGCCCUGAAGUCUGCAGUCCUCCUUUCUCAGGAGAUCUGGUUUAGCUGUCAGUGAAAGAUUUACACUGUGAUAAGAGGCUCACUGCUGCCUAUAGGAAUAAGUCCCAUGGAUAUUAACCAUAUCAGGAUCAAGGCCCUGCUGGAUUGCCUCCUCCAGCCCAGCUGAAUCUUCCCUCCUUUCCUGCCUGGUUCUUUACUCAUUUACAAGUUCUGUGAAGUCCCAGCGCAACAUCUGAUUUCCAUCCAGUUGGACAGUAAACUGACAUUUUUCUCACGGUCUCUGGGCUCUUGUGCUUUGGGUCUCUGCCAAGCACUCCACAUCUUUAACUUGCCCUUUUUUUUUUUCACUUCAGACUGAGUUGUCCUGGUCCCCCCUCCCCCCACCCAGCUUUUAAAGGAAGCAAAAUUAAAAGCUCGACAAGAAGAGCCGGUCUCCUUCCAGGACUCCCCAGGGAUGAACGCGCUGCCCACCCUCCAUGCCAAGUGGCACCAAGAUGCUUUCCUGCAGACCCAGCGAUGGCAACUGCCCAACUCUCUGCUUUGAAAGCGGGGAAUGUAGAGGCCAGUGCCAAUAAAAAGGGCUGCUCCCCCUAUCCCUCCAAUUUUGUUUAGGGCUCUGCUACCAUUCGGUCACAAGUCACUGCCUCCAGACACUUGUUAAUGCCAGACAGACACGCAGAUAUGCCGCACAUUUUUUCUGCUUCCCAAAAUUCUGCUCUCAUUUGAAAUGGCAGGUGGGUGUUCCUCUCUCCAUGGUGCAUCAGGCAGUGGCAUUUUGCUCUUCAUCCAGUUCCAGCCAUCAUGGGAAAUCAGAGCAAAUGCAACACAUACCCUCAAAAUCCCUUCCCACAGCCCCGUGCCUUUUUGUUUUUCUCUCUGUUGGCCAGCAGGGUGGGAAGGAGAGAUGAGAACAUCUUGGUUUCCGCCCUCCCCAAACCUCUUUCUCCCCAGUACAUCAUCCCUCUGACACCUGCCUGGCCAGCUAUGGAUACAAGGAUGCCAGCAGAGAUGCUGACCCAAGCACCAAAGUGGUGGCUUCAGUGACCCAAACAUGAGGGUGGUAGAAACUAAAGCUCAUAGAAAAGCUUUGCAGCUGGCUGAAGGCAGCAGGAACCAAGGCAGCUUCCCCAAAAUAGUCCACAGUAUCUUACAAAAACAACCAACCACAAUAGCACCCUCUACUCCCACAAGCUGCUGGUGUUCAAAAGCACCACAGCUAUACUGUGGUUGGGGCUACACUAAUGAUUUGCAUCAAAUUGCCAUGCCGUGCCCACUUUCUUCUGCCUGGAGACAACCUCAAAACAGAGUAAAUCUGAAGUCGUGGUGAAAAUCUUUUUGAAUCAACUGUUCCAUUUGGGCAGGUCCCAUGGCUGCUUAUAGUGACAUCCUUUCAUGUCUAGUGCAACAACACAACAUCAGAGCAAAGAGGAACCAGCAUGAGUAUUUGCUGGCUUCUUCCCCUGUCAUCUGCCAUGCUGCUGCAUCGUUAUGUCUUAUCACUUCAAGCAAUAAGUUUGGGGAAGGUGAAACCAGGAUGUGUUCCUAUCUCCUUCCCACCACGCCAGCCAGCAGAGCAGAAAGCAAAAAGGCAUGGGGCUAUAGGAAAGGAAGGGACUUCGAGGGUACAAAAUUAUUGAGUACUGCUGGAUGCUACUUAAGAGCCAAAUUAAUUUAGCCAGCAAAAAUUGAGAUUGUUAGCUGCCCUGCCAUUCUCCUUAGUCUUUCCCCAGCCCCACAUGGAUGAGUCACUCCUAAACCUGCAGCUGAUGCAGAAGUCAUUAGAAAUGACUAAGCGCUUUAGGAAACGAGCCCUUCGUUUUCUCAGGCAGCAGCUAUGGCUGUGCUUUCAGACCCCAACACCCAUCUGCCUUUGCUGCACUGGGCUAGCAGGGCUGUACAUCCCUUUCCAGUGCAAAGGCAUGCGUAUGCAAGUUUGCUCUUGUGCAAAGAUUUGUUUUGAUCCCAGUGAACUUUGUUCCUUCUUGAUUUCCUCUGUUGGAAGCAAAGUUCCUUGGGUCAAAAGGGCUCCCUGUUUUACGCAGAGGAAGUCUUAUGGCAGCAUAGAUAUACAGCCUUGACGUCCAGACCUGACUGGUUUUUCUAAGAAAAAUGAUUGAUUUUUAAAUUGCACCAUGAUUUGAAGCAGCAAUAGGAGUCUUUAUGUAAGCAGUCAUACACUAAGCUUGCCCUCAAGUUUUUAUUAAGGGCACAGUGAAUCUCACUGGUCAGUAAUGACUUAUGGUAAAGGCUGCUCACCUCUUUAGGUUGGAUGUUUUCUGCUCCUGCUCAUUAAGAUGCCUGUUUGAAGUCAGGUAAUUGCGGGAAUGUCUGUCAUGUUACAAACCAGCAAAAUAUUUGCUUGAUUUUUCUUUUAAACUAGACUAUUUGAUUUCUGUAUCCCAGAGGUUAACAGGAAUCUGCUAAGAGAGCAACAAGUGUGUUUUGAUGGAGUUGAAAAGCGUAAUUUUCUCAUUUAUUUAGUUGACAAAAACUCUUAAAUGGGCUGGACAUAUUACAUUACCUCUUCUCCAUAUACCCCAGGCUGUCCUGAAAUGGCUGGUACAGGUUUGUGGGGGCCACUAGGGCACCCUUGCCUCAGCUUCUGCCUUGGCCAGUCUUGCUACCACAUUGACUGGGCUGCUCUCAACAUUUUCUUUGAUUUUAGGCAAAAAUGUGAAGGCAGCAGGUUUCAUUCUUUUUCUAGGUCUCCUCCAGAAAAACCUCCUGGUAGCAGAUGGAACUUCCAUGCAAACCUUUCAGGAGACACUGUCAGACUUAUACAUGAUGUUCAAAGAGUUUAGCCCUCUGAAUCCUGAUUAAUUUGUUUUCCUUCCCUCUUGUCAAUCAGUUUUACUUCUUUUUGCUGAGGUGCAUGAAAUUGCUGUCUUUUCAAAACAAGAGGGCUGAGCUUUAUGCAGGAAUCUGGGCACUUGAGCACUUGCACAGAAAUUCAUGGGACCUUGGUGUGUACUUGGGCGGUUGUCUCUUGUGCAGCACCUUGGGCCAUACCAGUGGUGUUAUUUGGUCUCUUCUGCAUUUAAUAUAUAAUCAAGGAAACCUUUUAGCUGUGUCCUGUGGAGACUGAAGGGACAGGCAGUGUGGAUGUUGCUGGAGAAGUGCUGCUUCCCACCUGGGCAGGUCAACACAAGGCACAGGCACUUACGCAGCUUUGAGGUGCCACAACACCACGGCUUAAUGACAUCUCUGCUUAAUUACUGGAAUGCUUACAGGGAGAGGAGCCUGUCCCUUUCACCUCCUUUGCCUGUUAUCCUCAUUUUGUGAACAUUUAUGGAGUCUAGACAGGGCUGGGACCCACAUAUGCAGCUCCUCCUCAUUUUUAGUUGUCUGGAUGAGUGCUCUGUGACUCACGCCAUUCCCUUGCACAGGAGGAAACUUACAUGUAUUGCUUCCCUUUCUUAUAUCUUCUUCAUAUAAAAUUAUUCCUACUGGCAUGCACCAAAUCCCUGUUUCAGGGGGCAGCUGUCCCAGGCAGACCUCAGGGGGCUGGCCCCAAGAUUUGCCCUUCUAUAGCUGAUGGGGAAAUGGGGAAACCCUUCCUUUUUUCAUCUUUUUUUAUAAUCCCAUCACUUUUGCACCACACCUCUGCUCAACGAGGGCAUCUGGAGGCCAUGCCGUGGAUACAGUGUUGCUGGAGUUUGGUUUGCAUCUGAAGCAGAAAUAAAUGAUAGUAGUAAUAGGAGGAGGAGAAGAAGAAAUCAAAAGAUGAGAGAAGGACCUGGAAGAAAAUGCCAGAGAAACACGAUGCAUCAGGGUGAAAUUGCAUUUUGUCCUCUAUUUAUCCUUCAUCAUUUGUAUUAGCCCUUUUGGUAAGAAAAUGGAGUAGAAAUGUAAAUCUGAGCUUGAGAUGCUUUUCAGUAGCCAGCUGCUCAGUGUACCUAAAAACCUGGUUUUCAGCAUCUCUCUCAUGUGGAUUCUCUGAUGCCUGAUAUGGGCUGGGCUAACCUACAGCCUUUCCUCCAGCAGAGCUACCAGUAUGGUUAUUUUUUAAUUUAAUAGCCACCCACCAGUAUCUGUGAAAACCUGCAGAGCCUUAAUAACUAUCUUCAAGAGCACUACCCUCUGCUGCAGCUUGCUGAAAUCGGGCAAGGAGUGUCCCAACUUAAUGGGGACAGCAAGACCAUGCCAGCAGGUAGACACCAGGGAAGCUGUAACUCUUAAAAGAAGCCUUUGCAACUAAAAAGGAAGGCUGAGGCGGAUGUUUCCCUGGACUUGAAACCCUGCAAAACAGUGAUUGGUGAGGUCCCUCCUGAGACAGGUAGAAUAAAAGAGUAAAAAUCUUUGGGUAUGGGGGGUAGAGGUGAUUUCAGCCACGUGCCCAUCCCUCAUGCUCUUUACGACUUUAAAUCACCGUUUUAUAAAUAAGUCCUGUCAUGAUGGAACACACUGUCAGGAAACGUCACUCACUGCGUGACAUGGCAGAUGGAGAUUUAUAUGCUAUCAUGUGAUGAUUUUAAUGGGUUCUGCCCAAAAUGGGACUUGGUGCUAAAAAUCAAACCCUGGGCACUGUACAAGCUUACAGCAAGUGCCGGGCUCUCUCUGGCAGAUCCUCGCAAGCAGAGGAAAUUUGUCUCAGCGACAGCAACAAGACGUUGCGGUGAUAAAAGCUCAAAGCACAUCCUCAAAAUGCAGCAUGUGAUUUUGCAUUAAAGACUUGAGGGCUGUCCUAGGCAGGAUGAGCCCAUGGUGCUGCAAGGCUCUGGCCUCAGGAUACAUACAGCUCCCAUCUCUCAAGAGGUGUUGUGAAGAAGGGGUUAAGAAAAGAGUUCUUUUGGUGGCAGACAAACCACUGGCAACUGAAAAUAAACAGGCAAGACAUCAGAUCCCAUUGAGCUUCAAAUAAAAUGCAGGAUUUGGAAAAAAAUUGUUGUUUGUUUCAAGCACAGCUUCAAGGAAGGUAGAAAAACCUUUGAUCUCCUGAGUUUCUCUGCAGUGCAGCUUUCAGUUUCAAGUGUGCUUCUUGUUGGGCAUAGAUCUUAAUAUAGUUAUUUCUCAUCUGUAAUAACAGCCAAGAUUUAAUUUGAUAUGUUUAAUUAUGGUGGAUGGAACAAUCGAUUCCUUAGUCACUAAUAAAUGUAUGAGGAACACAUGAAUAAAUGAGCUAUUACACUAAAAAAAAGCCCAGCCCUGAGGAGGUGACAAAACAAGGAUGAAGGCUUUUCCUGAGGCACUUGCGUGUCACUUGUGACACUCGAGGGACAGCCUCACGCCUGCUUGCUGCAUGUCACAGCUCACACCAUGGGCCAUACAGGACACAUGGGCUCAGGAGCUGAUGGAGGCAGCAGUCCAGUAGAUCUCAGAAGUUUUCCCUUGAGAAAUGUUGCUCCAUCCCUGUCUACCUGCUCUGCAAUUCCUAAUGCGGUUGGAAGCUGGAGACUUCCGUGAACGUGAGCCCUGAUGCCUUCAAGAUGUGAUAUUUAGAGGAAUGACAAAAAAUAGUUCAUGUUCAAUACAAUGCCAAUAAGUAAUGCAAUGGUUCUGAGGUCUCUUUUCUCUUAUUCUGAGCCUCUGAUUUCAAAGCCUUUGUUUUCCCCUUUGAACAUACAUAGAUUACUUUAAAGAUAGACCAGCAUUUCCCUGCUCAGCUAAUUAAAGCCCCAAAAUUUGCAUUCACUGCGCCAAUGCAAUAGGUUUGUCUUGCCCUUAAUGUGCACAGAGAUAACUCCAUGCUGCAGGGCUUUGAUCGUGCCUGGGUGUCUCUGCAGCAGCAGUGCCAGCUUCUGCUGCCCUGGUACAAGUCCAGGUGAGGAGAGAGAGCACCCGGGGCAAGUACCUCCAGUACCCAAAAGGGAACUACCUUGGUUAAAGGAUGCAGUGGAUGUGAGUCCUCCUGCACAGCUGGUUUGUGAUGACCAGCCCUGGGUACGGAAUGUGUAUCUGGGGUGAGGCUCUGCUUUGGUGGACAGAGGAGAAGGCGGUCCCAGCCAGAGCACGCUCAAGGCUGCACCAUCCCUGUUCCCCAUCCCUUCCUACCGACCCAUCUGCUCACGAUUCCAGUUGGCUGUUUCUACUCUCAAACACAUGUCCUAUCUCCUCCUCCUGCUUCUGCCACAACAUGUGGAUUUUUGGGAUGACACCUUUGGGAAAAGGGUUCAGAAUGUGAAACAGUGUUAUCCACAACUAUACAAUGCCAGCUGGGUGGAGAGCACUCAUUAUUUUACCCAGCAGGGUUGGAAAGAUAAAUAAAUAAAAGGUAGCUGAAGAGGCUGCAAAGAAGAUGAGCUGUGCAUGUCCAAGGGGACAUGAUAGCCAUGGGACCCUGAUGUAGGAGGAGGUGAUGUCAUUGUAAUGGACAGAAGGAAGAAGGAGGACAGCAGUGACAAGACCAUGUGUUCAUGUUGAGAUGAUAUGAUCCCACAAGGCAGAUUUAGGGACCUGGGUGGUUGAUGCUGCAGGUGGGGUGGCAUGAACACCAUCCUUCAGUCAACCAUCAGCAGGAUUAGACCAUUGCAUUUGGGCUUUUGGGGCAGGAACUUUACUGGGGAGAAGAGAAAUAUACAGAGAAAGAAGGAGGGUGAGCAAACUGUUGUGUGAAAAGAAAUGGAUGUGAACAAAUUCAAUGUGACCUGAAGAAGUCAUCAGAAACAUUGUCCAAAGGAGGCUUGUAGUUGUGGGAAGAGGCAGAGGACCCAUCACUGCUUGCAGGAGCACUCUGGGGGAGCUGUCAGCCCUGGGGGAAGCAGGACUUCAGCUUGGUCUCCUAAAAAAAAUAAAUUACACCAAGUGCUUGCCCUCACUGGCUGUGCUGAGACUGCUUGUGUCCAGACAGCUGCCUGGGUCAAGAGAGCAAGUGAGGUCCAUGGUCCUCUCUCUUCUCUGCUGGUCUUCACGCCUGCAACAGAGCUGGGAAACUGCCCCAGUUUCCAGCCCUCAGUGUUUAAUUCAUCAGCCCUCAGUGGUUAAUUCAUUCAUCAGCCCUCAAGGCUUUUCCCUGCUCAACCAAGCCUGGACUGCAGCAAGAGCACAGCUCCCCAUCACCUCCUCCAGCUUCGCCUGGUCCAACUCAAUCUGGUUUGCAUUGAUGCAAGAAAAAAAGCUGCACAAAGUUGUUUAGAAACAGGCCCCUCCAGUUAUUUCCAUCUACUCUGAAGCUGCUUGAAACUGUAAACCAAGACCUCCCGGUGCUACUUUUUCCCUGUACUCCUAUUUUUUUUGUCCUUGCCUCCACUCCAGUGGCGUAUUUCUCAAGCCCACCAGUCAGAUGAACCACAGUUGUGCUGCACCCUGGCUGUGUCCCCACAGCUGCUGUGAGGAGGCAGCACCCAUUGCAGCCCCCAGCUUCUCCCCCAGCCCUCCUCCAGCCAGUCUGCAGCACAGAAAAGCCCAGCCCUGCAGCAACAGUGGCAGCAGGUUGGCAACAGCAGCCGCUGUGUUCAAGAAAAAUUAGCGAAUUCUCUGCUGAGACAAAGAAUUUGUUCCCCCUAUUGAAUAUUUCAGCCAGCUAUAAUAAUAAUUAUAUACUGUUAGUAAUAAUAUAUCAGUACAUAUAUUAGUAUAUAAUAUUUAACUAUAUAUUAUGCUUUUAUAUAUUAUAAUAUUAUGUUAUUAUUGUAAGUCUAAGAAUAUUUGCUAUUGCAUUACUACCUGUCACCUUGCAGCACCUUGGUGUUGCAGGCGUCUCACACCCCUCUCUUGUGGAUCACCUCUGCCACAGCUGUUCCUGGGAGCUGUUUUUCGGGUGUCUAAGCUAAGAGUUGGCAGUGCCAUGAAUGGGGCUCGCUGGGUACCAACUUGCUGCAGUGCCUCAGGGACAGGCUGCUGCCUCCAGGGUCCCCAUGAAGUGCUUCAGCUGCCUGUGUGGGCUGGGAUUUAGAUGCUCCAGUAACCACAGUAUGAGUGAGGCAUGCCAAAGAACCCUUCACUGUUGGCUUAGUCUUUGAAUGGCCUUAGCAGGGUUUUCACCUCCCAUCCUGCCAUUACAUCUGAAAAUGCAGCAAAAAAUCCCUAGCUGCUCACGAGCGCCUUGCAGCCCAGUGCUUGGCAAAUUUGGGCACUGAUCCAACAGUGCUCAGGGACCUGCUUGUCUCUCAAGGAGUCCCAGCAUCUCUGGGUGGGGAAAUGCUGCAUAAUGUGAUGUACUGAGGGGUUUUCUUCCUUUACUAAGAAGUAGGAAAGCACUGAUGCCUUUCCUGUAGGCAUGAAUUCUCCUGAUGCCCUGUUUGCUCCCUACUUCUCGUGUCCUUUUGUUCUGGAGGUUAAUAAAUAUUAAAUUUUUAUCUUCUUUGCCAUCUACUCCCCCUUCUUCUUCUUCACCCUGUGCCUAAUAUCAGUAGCCUGCUCUAAUAAAUAAUGUAGCAUCUGUCUGGGCAGUAGUUUGUGGUCUGAGCUUGCUUGAUGGGUUGUGUAAGUGGAAGUAUUGAGCUGAACCUACUUUGCUCCCUUUCACAUCGAAGAGCUAUUGAUUCCGUAUCAGAGGUAUAAGCUGGUUGAAACAACAUUUUCUCACCCUGUGCAUGAACAUCCCAGCUCAGCAGGCAGAGAAAGUGUAUGGGGCUUAAGGGAAUAAAACCCCAGGGAUUUAAGUAUACACCUAAGGUUUAACAAGUGCUUAAGUGCAUUCCUGAACUGGAGCCUGAGGGAAUAAUGUUAUUGUAUUACCUAGCCUUUAUGGGAUUGCCAUGGUCUGGUGGGAGCAGCUAGGCAGCUGCAGAGGUUUCCUGGGGUACCAGGCAUGCAGCUUUCAUGAAUUCCCUUCAGCAUUAAUUGGCUUGGUUUUGCCCCUUGGGACAAGGAAAGCACAAGGAAAUCUGCCUUGCAGAUGCUUUCUUGACUGUAUCUGUCUUGCACACAUUGAAAUCUUGCUCUAUUUUUCAAUGAUCCCUCUUCAGUCUGGGGGAAAGGGGACCCUCGCCUCCAUCAGAGCAACUCAAAGCAUCUUUUUGGGGCUGUAUAUGCAGAGAUACAAAGGUGACGCUAUGCACCAGAGGAAGAGGAGAAAAAAGAGGCUCUGAGCAUCCUGAGAGUUUUUCUGCAGUGGAGGAGUUUCAACCCAGCCACACGUGGCUGCUUUCCAGUGCAAUAAACUGCAGCAGCUGCAAUCUCA
Columba livia (rock pigeon) is the source of this 9559-nucleotide long non-coding RNA. RefSeq lists it as uncharacterized. The record is from RefSeq and is a predicted model, not a curated record. Lineage: Eukaryota; Metazoa; Chordata; Aves; Columbiformes; Columbidae. The transcript has 2 exons.